CGUCCGAGUGGCGAACGGGUGAGUAACACGUGAGGAACCUGCCCCGAAGACCGGGAUAACCCUCCGAAAGGAGAGCUAAUACCGGAUACCCCCACCGAAUCGCAUGGUUUGGUGAGGAAAUGGAUUCCGCUUCGGGAGGGCCUCGCGGCCUAUCAGCUUGUUGGUGGGGUAACGGCCUACCAAGGCAUCGACGGGUAGCUGGUCUGAGAGGACGAUCAGCCACACUGGGACUGAGACACGGCCCAG
RNAcentral lists this ribosomal RNA (246 nucleotides) under uncultured bacterium. RNAcentral describes it as "partial 16S ribosomal RNA". It matches the Rfam family "Bacterial small subunit ribosomal RNA", at positions 88 to 334 of the family's 1533-position model. The record is from RNAcentral.